Molecule: ribosomal RNA, 1241 nt
Filed under: Cassidinae sp. N35
Lineage: Eukaryota; Metazoa; Arthropoda; Insecta; Coleoptera; Chrysomelidae
Description: 12S ribosomal RNA
Rfam family: Archaeal large subunit ribosomal RNA (bases 1031-1188)
Source: RNAcentral
AAUGAAUUUUAUUAUUAAAAUUAUAUUUUUUAUAAUUUUUAAAUAAAUUUUUUUGUUUUUAUUAUUAUUUUGAAAAAUUUUUAUUUAUAAUAGGAUACUAGUACUGUGAAGGAAUUUUUUUUAUUAAAAAAAGAAAAAUUUAUUUUUUGUACCUUGUGUAUCAGGGUUUAUUAAAAUAUAAUUCUAAUUGAAUAAUUCUCGAAUUUAAAGGAGCUAAAUUAGUAUAAAUAUUGUUGUUUCAUAAACAUUUAAAAUAUUAAUUUUGAAGUUAUAUGCUAUUCAUCUUUAAUUAUAUCUAGUUUUUAAAGAAACAAAUUUAAUUUGAUUUAUUUUAAUAUUAAAAAUUCUUUUUUUUUAUUAUUAAAAUGAUUUAAUAAUUUUUGGGAUAAUCUAAAAAUUAUAUUUUUAUUAAAUUUAAAAAUUUCUGGACAAUUAGGAUUAAAAUUUUCCAUAUUUAUAAUUGUAUUAUAAUUUUUCUAGGUCAUUUAAUAUUUAUUUUUUUUUAUAAAUUUUUUAUUUAAAUUUUGAUUAAAAUUGAUUUUUUCAACUAAUUAUGAUAAAAUUAGUAAAUUUAUUUAUAUGUUUAAAUUACACUUUAAAAUGAUAAUGAAGAAUUCGGCAAUUAGUUUUUUACCUGUUUAAUAAAAACAUGUCUUCUUGAUUAUAAUCUGAAGUCUGACCUGCUCUAUGAAAUUUAAAUGGCCGCAGUAUUUUGACUGUGCUAAGGUAGCAUAAUAAUUAGUUUCUUAAUUAGAAGCUUGUAUGAAUGGUUUGAUAAGAAAACUUCUUUUUUAUUUUUAAUUUAUUUGAAUUUUAUCUUUAAGUUAAAAAGCUUAAAUGUUUUUAUAGGACGAGAAGACCCUUUAGAAUUUUAUAUAAGAUUAUAUUAAUUUAAUUUGGAAUUAAUAUUUUGAUAAGAUUUUUUAUUUAGUUGGGGUGACUAAAAAAUUGAAUUAACUUUUUUUAUUAUUUUUACAUUAUAUUUGAUUAUAUGAUCCGUUAAACGAUUAUAAGAGAAAAUUACCUAAGGGAUAACAGCGUUAUAAUUUUUAGAGUUCUUAUCGAAAAAAUUGAUUGCGACCUCGAUGUUGGAUUAGAAUUUCAAUUAGGUGCAAAAGCUUAAUGAGAAGGUCUGUUCGACCUUUAAAUUUCUACAUGAUCUGAGUUUAAACCGGCGUGAGCCAGGUUGGUUUCUAUCCAUAAAUAUUUAUUAUAUUUUAGUACGAAAGGAUUUAGUAUAU